Molecule: ribosomal RNA, 446 nt
Filed under: uncultured bacterium
Lineage: Bacteria
Description: partial 16S ribosomal RNA
Rfam family: Bacterial small subunit ribosomal RNA
Source: RNAcentral
CCUACGGGUGGCAGCAGUCGAGAAUCAUUCACAAUGGGGGAAACCCUGAUGGUGCGACGCCGCGUGGGGGAAUGAAGGUCUUCGGAUUGUAAACCCCUGUCAUGUGGGAGCAAAUUAAAAAGAUAGUACCACAAGAGGAAGAGACGGCUAACUCUGUGCCAGCAGCCGCGGUAAUACAGAGGUCUCAAGCGUUGUUCGGAAUCACUGGGCGUAAGGCGUGCGUAGGCUGUUUCGUAAGUCGUGUGUGAAAGGCGCGGGCUCAACCCGCGGACGGCACAUGAUACUGCGAGACUAGAGUAAUGGAGGGGGAACCGGAAUUCUCGGUGUAGCAGUGAAAUGCGUAGAUAUCGAGAGGAACACUCGUGGUGAAGGCGGGUUCCUGGACAUUAACUGACGCUGAGGCACGAAGGCCAGGGGAGCGAAAGGGAUUAGAUACCCCGGUAGUC